This 404-nucleotide ribosomal RNA is filed under the name Camaenidae sp. BR4. Its description in RNAcentral is "partial 16S ribosomal RNA". The record is from RNAcentral. Lineage: Eukaryota; Metazoa; Mollusca; Gastropoda; Stylommatophora; Camaenidae.
CAAAAACAUAGCCCUGGUGGAUAAUAAUAGGGGUUUAUGCYCAAGAUAUUUUUUAAAUGGCCGCAGUACCCUGACUGUGCAAAGGUAGCAUAAUCAAUUGGCUUCUAAUUAAAGUCCGGAAUGAAUGAAAGAAUGAGAGGCUAACUAUAUAAUUAACUUUUUAUGAAAUUACUUAUUGGGUGAAAAUACCCAUAUUUACACAUAAGACGAGAAGACCCUAGAAAUUUACUUAGUAUUUUGUUGGGGCAACAUAGUAGCAAGUAAACCUACUUAAUUUUUCUUGAAGCAGUGCGGUUUGAUUAAAUUACUUUAGGGAUAACAGCAUAAUACGUGAGUGUUUGUGACCUCGAUGUUGGAUUAGGAAGUUGCAGUUUAGAAAAUAACCAAAACGCUCUGUUCGAGCA